AACAUAUUGAAGGGGUGCCCUAAUGGGCUGAGAUUAGACCCUAGAACCUGUUGAGAUAAUGCUCGCGUAGGAAUCAAUUAUAAUUUUGAA
RNAcentral lists this non-coding RNA (90 nucleotides) under Lactobacillus pasteurii. RNAcentral's name for it is "TPP sequence". It matches the Rfam family "TPP riboswitch aptamer (THI element)". From Rfam's summary of the family: Vitamin B(1) in its active form thiamin pyrophosphate (TPP) is an essential coenzyme that is synthesised by coupling of pyrimidine and thiazole moieties in bacteria. The record is from RNAcentral. Lineage: Bacteria; Bacillati; Bacillota; Bacilli; Lactobacillales; Lactobacillaceae. RNAcentral also lists the same sequence under 1 other name.